UCUCAGCCCUCGCCUCGCCACUAGUCUUCAUCGAGAAAUUAGAGUGAGGAUGAGUCGUUGAAAAUGGCCAUUGCUGUUCGAUCAAAGCUCCAACACAAUAACCUGUCCCCGCUGUGACCGUCAUAUGUUCCUCUAUCUGACGUUCUUAAAUAGAAACGAAAGGCAGUAUGCAGCAGGACAUAUUUCCACAAGGUGCAUUGUGCAAAUGCUACUUUGAUAAUUUGGGCCAGUUCAUAUCUGGAGAUGAUUGAUCAGAGAUUCAGUGAUGUCCUGUACCGUCGAUUUCUCAGACAAGUUCGGAUAAAUGAGAGAAAAAGAAGAAUACCUGAUGCCUGAAAAGGAAGAGAAUGUGUGUCAGGUGAAAAUUCAAGUGGAUCUACUAUAAUACAUAUUGUUUGUACAUUUGUAGAAUUGUUUUUUGACUUAUAUAAAUGAUUUGCAAAUAUGUUGUUCAAGAAGCUAGUCCUGACUCUUGA
Molecule: long non-coding RNA, 476 nt
Organism: Ipomoea nil (Japanese morning glory)
Lineage: Eukaryota; Viridiplantae; Streptophyta; Magnoliopsida; Solanales; Convolvulaceae
Exons: 3
Source: RefSeq, a predicted model, not a curated record